Molecule: ribosomal RNA, 460 nt
Filed under: uncultured bacterium
Lineage: Bacteria
Description: partial 16S ribosomal RNA
Rfam family: Bacterial small subunit ribosomal RNA
Source: RNAcentral
CCUACGGGAGGCUGCAGUGAGGAAUAUUGGUCAAUGGACGAAAGUCUGAACCAGCCAAGUAGCGUGAAGGAUGACUGCCCUAUGGGUUGUAAACUUCUUUUAUGUGGGAAUAAAGGGUUCCACGUGUGGGUGUUUGUAGGUACCAUAUGAAUAAGGAUCGGCUAACUCCGUGCCAGCAGCUGCGGUAAUACGGAGGAUCCGAGCGUUAUCCGGAUUUAUUGGGUUUAAAGGGAGCGUAGGUGGGUUGUUAAGUCAGUUGUGAAAGUUUGCGGCUCAACCGUAAAAUUGCAGUUGAUACUGGCAGCCUUGAGUACAGUAGAGGUGGGCGGAAUUCGUGGUGUAGCGGUGAAAUGCUUAGAUAUCACGAAGAACUCCGAUUGCGAAGGCAGCUCACUGGACUGCAACUGACACUGAGGCUCGAAAGUGUGGGUAUCAAACAGGAUUAGAUACCCCUGUAGUC